UACGGAGGGGGCUAGCGUUGUUCGGAAUUACUGGGCGUAAAGCGCACGUAGGCGGCUUUGUAAGUUAGAGGUGAAAUCCCCGGGCUUAACCUGGGAAUGGCAUUUGGGACUGCAAGGCUUGAGUGCGGCAGAGGAGACUGGAAUUCCUGGUGUAGCAGUGAAAUGCGUAGAUAUCAGGAGGAACACCGAUGGCGAAGGCAGGUCUCUGGGCUGACACUGACGCUCAUGCACGAAAGCGUGGGGAGCAAACAGG
This 253-nucleotide ribosomal RNA is filed under the name uncultured bacterium. RNAcentral's name for it is "partial 16S ribosomal RNA". It matches the Rfam family "Bacterial small subunit ribosomal RNA", at positions 524 to 776 of the family's 1533-position model. The record is from RNAcentral.